GCCAGCGUGUAUCAGAUUGGUUAUUGUCGUUUCAAUACAGUUUGCGGUUUUAGUAUUUUUUUAUCAUACUGAAGCUUUCGUUAGAUUUUUUGUGGGAGUUUCAGGAGCAAUUUGUUUAUUUUCUUGCAGCCGCUAUUUUAGUGUUCAGCCCUGGUAUAGUUGAAGAAUAAUAUGGAGAGAAGUCCCCCAUCAGCAUAUCUGAGCUUAGAUGAUUGAGCUAAAGGAAUAUUAUGGAGUUGAAACCUUUUAUCAGGUUGUUUGAGUUUAAGUUCAAAUUCUUCUGUGGUUCAAGGCUUCAAACUGCUCUUUUCUAUCAGGUUUGCAUGAGCUAAAAUAAUAAGAUAUUACGAAGUCUUUCAUCACCUGAUUUGAGUGAUCGUAUAUUAGUAUCACACAAUUUCCCAAA
Molecule: long non-coding RNA, 406 nt
Organism: Triticum dicoccoides
Lineage: Eukaryota; Viridiplantae; Streptophyta; Magnoliopsida; Poales; Poaceae
Exons: 2
Source: RefSeq, a predicted model, not a curated record